AUGGAGAGGCGAGGAGAAGGGGGCGGGGGCGCUGUGGGGGCGGAGGAGAAAAGGGGCGCAAACUGCGAGCCGACGGGGGCGGCGGUGUUGCUGAAGAGGGAAGGCGUCGUGCCGAAGACGAACGGCGGGGAGGAAGAGGCCGAGGCAGUGGAGGCGGAAGGCGCCGUGGAGGAGAGGGAGCCCGGCGAGGUGACGGAGUCCAUGGCGGCGGCGGACGGGGAGGAGUCGGUGCCGGCCAUGAGGAGAACCUGGAAGCAGCUGAUACCAAGUUGGAAAGAUAUUUCCUUGAUUGAUUUACAGAUCACAGUACAUCAUUAUAUGAGGGAGAACUGCACGUCCUAUACAAGUGGCACUCGGGCCCGACGUGGUCUCCCGAUCCUAGAAUUGCGGCAACGUUACAUGAGUAUAUGA
This 411-nucleotide ribosomal RNA is filed under the name Triticum aestivum (bread wheat). RNAcentral describes it as "partial small subunit ribosomal RNA". Lineage: Eukaryota; Viridiplantae; Streptophyta; Magnoliopsida; Poales; Poaceae. The record is from RNAcentral.